GUUUGUGUUUUCCAGACUAAAAGGACUUAGGUGAGAAGGCUAUAACAGAUACAGAGGCAGCAGAGGUAGUGACCCAAGCAGUGGAAGACACAAUGAAGAUGACUGGAUGUGGAAGCUGCGGCAUGUACGUGAUCCUGGAGGGGAUAUCUGAAAAGAGUUUCGUCUGCAUGAAGUGCCGUCUGACAGAGCCGAUGGAAGAAAAGAUCUGAGGAUUGGAGAUGCAGGUGGAAAUGCUGUAAUGCCUGAUAGCCCUUCUGCGCUGCUACUGUCAGAUC
Long non-coding RNA from Chelonia mydas (Green sea turtle), 275 nucleotides. RefSeq lists it as uncharacterized. The transcript is spliced from 3 exons. NCBI's taxonomy places the organism in Eukaryota, Metazoa, Chordata, Testudines, Cheloniidae. The record is from RefSeq and is a predicted model, not a curated record.